Molecule: long non-coding RNA, 944 nt
Filed under: Capsicum annuum
Lineage: Eukaryota; Viridiplantae; Streptophyta; Magnoliopsida; Solanales; Solanaceae
Description: long non-coding RNA (CANN_LNC017834)
Source: RNAcentral
GGCAACGCAACACAACAUAUCCAAAAUAUCCAAAAAUCGUUGUGAGCUGUAACUCGUUAAAUCCUCAAUCGCUGGCCAUUGUUUUGGCUGAAUUUUAUAUUGAAAAUUCAAAAUCCUUUUCUUCAUCGAAAAACACAUAACCACGACCACCAUUGUCACUCCAACCAGCCAACCGGUGAAAUACCACCCUCCAUGUAUCCACACCAAUGCAUCUUGAUACAAAACCAAUAGAUAACUUUGAUGUAUCUCGUUGUAAAUUCAGUAAAACAGACACAUAUCGAUACAUAAUUGAAUAUAUUGAUUUAGACGAAUUUUGACACAUUAGUUUAAACAGACUUUAAGAGAUACAUAAGAUUUUGUAUCGGAUUCAGAAACCUGACAAGCAUAAUGUAUCUUCAUUCCCUCUUUAAUGUAUUUUCAUGUUUUUUUGACUCCCGAUACAUAUUGAUUAUACCUUUUUAGAGGAUCCCGUGAUGUAUCUUCACCUUUAUCUCCUUUAGUAUCGGCAGUGUCUGACAAACGUAAUAUAUCUUCUUGUCCUUUUUAAUCAGAUACAUCAUUAUUAUGUAUCUCCAAAUUUUCCUAACAUAUUCAUCAUUCUUUUAUAUCUCCAUUAACAUCAUCAUCUUCAACCUCCAUUAACUAAUCUCUAAAUUUCCUCCCUACUCCACCACCAACUCCCUCUAUCUCUGUUUCAGGCUAUCGUCGCUAGUAAAUCCUCACCGAUGAACCACCAAAUAGACACUUAAUUCGAAAAAGCUCUUUAAAUUUUGAUUGAUUUUUCUCAAUUUUGAUAGAACAAGCACCUCAGAAACCCACUAAUUUUGUGGUUAUGCUGAGAUCGAAAAACGAGAUUGUUACCGAUGAAACUGUUGUCAUUGUUUGCCGAAGAUUCGAACUUGAAUUUGUAAAAAUAUAGAAAGAGAAAGUAGAGAGAGAGAGAG